This 552-nucleotide ribosomal RNA is filed under the name Triticum aestivum (bread wheat). Its description in RNAcentral is "partial small subunit ribosomal RNA". The record is from RNAcentral. Lineage: Eukaryota; Viridiplantae; Streptophyta; Magnoliopsida; Poales; Poaceae.
AUGCCACGAACAACUCCACCGACGCCAAGAUGCAAGCUCAAUUGGAGGAGAUCAAAGCCCUCAUCAAGUCCUACAAGCGGUCUUCCUCAUGUUCGAGAAGACGCUCAAGAGCACAUGCCUCCGAGUUACCAUCUCCGGCAAGGUCACAUCGGCAUCGACAGUGAUGCGGAGCAUCCCACGUUCAUCCCCAUGUACACUACGACUACUCUCCAAGCCCUAAGAGAACAUAAGACGAGACCUCAUCUAUACCCCAUUGGACACAAGGUGAACUCGCUCCUCUUCGAACUAUCACUUUCCAUACGUGAGACAUGGCUACUACAUCAAACAUGUGUGCUAUGCAUGACCAGGAACCAAGAGGAAGACCAUGGACAAGAAGGCGAGGACACCAAGUGCGAGGAACGAGAAGAACAGCUACUGAAGAAGCUCCAGUCACCGAACGACCGGUCGGGACCAGACGUCCGAUGCCUGAAGACCCACCGGACGACCGGCCUGGACCAGACGACCGGCAAUCCCGCACCCGAGCCAAACGAGUGGACGUCUGACAAGUCCUAG